AUGUUGCAGGUCAUCACGGUCAUGAUCCCUCCGUCAGGCAGUUCACAUAGCUACCCGUGGGAGCUGGAGAGGAUACAGAACUGGCAGCAAAAAGCAUGCGAGGAGCUGUGGACGCUGGAGCAGCCCACGUUGAUGGAUCCCACACGUACCGAACGCUUUUACAAACUGUUUGUCACCAAGAACAACAAGAAGACAGAUUUUCACCUCAACGGCCUGGACGGCGGCGUAAAAGUCGGUACAGAGGUCGGGAUCUACUCCGGGUCAUCAGACACAAACAACACCAUAUGGCAGCUGACUUCAGACGCCCAACCCUGCGCCCCCUGA
RNAcentral lists this ribosomal RNA (324 nucleotides) under Triticum aestivum (bread wheat). Its description in RNAcentral is "partial small subunit ribosomal RNA". Lineage: Eukaryota; Viridiplantae; Streptophyta; Magnoliopsida; Poales; Poaceae. The record is from RNAcentral.